AUACGGAGGAUCCGAGCGUUAUCCGGAUUUAUUGGGUUUAAAGGGUGCGCAGGCGGCCAUUUAAGUCAGCGGUUAAAUCGUGGGGCUCAACCCCAUUCUGCCGUUGAUACUGGGUGGCUUGAUUGCGGUCGAGGUUGGCGGACUUCGUUGUGUAGCGGUGAAAUCCAUAGAUAUGACGAAGAACACCGAUUGCGUAGGCAGCUGACCAGACCGCAAAUGACGCUCAUGCACGAAAGUGCGGGGAUCGAACAGGAUUAGAUACCCUGGUAGUCCGCACAGUAAACGAUGAAUACUUGUUUUCGGCGAUAUAAUGUCGGAGGCAAAGCGAAAGCGAUAAGUAUUCCACCUGGGGAGUACGCCGGCAACGGUGAAACUCAAAUGAAUUGGCGGGG
Molecule: ribosomal RNA, 392 nt
Filed under: uncultured bacterium
Lineage: Bacteria
Description: partial 16S ribosomal RNA
Rfam family: Bacterial small subunit ribosomal RNA
Source: RNAcentral